Molecule: ribosomal RNA, 355 nt
Filed under: uncultured bacterium
Lineage: Bacteria
Description: bacterial SSU rRNA
Rfam family: Bacterial small subunit ribosomal RNA
Source: RNAcentral
GGGAAUUUGCCUCGGGGUAUGGAAUAACUCAGGGAAACUUNAGCUAAUACCAUAUAAUGUCUUCGGACCAAAGAUUUAUCGCCCUGAGAUAAGCCCGCGUAGGAUUAGCUAGUUGGUGNGGUAAAAGGGCUCACCAAGGCGACGAUCCUUAGCUGGUCUGAGAGGAUGAUCAGCCACACUGGGACUGAGACACGGCCCAGACUCCUACGGGAGGCAGCAGUGGGGAAUAUUGGACAAUGGGCGAAAGCCUGAUCCAGCAAUGCCGCGUGAGUGAUGAAGGCCUUCGGGUUGUAAAGCUCUUUUACUCGGGACGAUAAUGACGGUACCGAGAGAAUAAGCCCCGGCUAACUCCGUG